CACAAGGGGUGGAACCUGCGGCUCAAUUGGAGUCAACGCCUGGAAUCUCACCGGGGGAGACCGCAGGAUGACGGCCAGGCUAACGACCUUGCCAGACUCGCGGAGAGGAGGUGCAUGGCCGUCGCCAGCUCGUGUUGUGAAAUGUCCGGUUAAGUCCGGGAACGAGCGAGACCCCCACUUCUAGUUGGUAACCGUCUCUCCGGGAGCGGUCCACA
Molecule: ribosomal RNA, 215 nt
Filed under: uncultured Metallosphaera sp.
Lineage: Archaea; Thermoproteati; Thermoproteota; Thermoprotei; Sulfolobales; Sulfolobaceae
Description: partial 16S ribosomal RNA
Rfam family: Archaeal small subunit ribosomal RNA
Source: RNAcentral